Molecule: small nuclear RNA, 165 nt
Filed under: Arabidopsis thaliana x Arabidopsis arenosa
Lineage: Eukaryota; Viridiplantae; Streptophyta; Magnoliopsida; Brassicales; Brassicaceae
Description: U4
Rfam family: U4 spliceosomal RNA (bases 1-143)
About the family: U4 small nuclear RNA (U4 snRNA) is a component of the major U2-dependent spliceosome. The structure of U4 snRNA from yeast and human has been reported. U4 snRNA presents a k-turn RNA motif in the 5p-SL related to recognition of Snu13 protein.
Source: RNAcentral
AUCUUUGCGCUUGGGGCAAUGACGCAGCUAAUGAGGUCUUAACCGAGGUGCGUCUAUUGCUGGUUGAAAACUAUUUCCAAACCCCUCCUAGGCCUAAGCUUGUAUUGGGCCUUCAAGAAUUUCUGUAAGAGCUCCCUUCGGGGUAAACCUCUACAAUUCUUAGUU